UACGUAGGGGGCUAGCGUUGUCCGGAAUUAUUGGGCGUAAAGAGCUCGUAGGCGGCUAGUCACGUCGGAUGUGAAAACCCGAGGCUCAACCUCGGGCCUGCAUUCGAUACGGGCUGGCUAGAGUACUGCAGGGGAGACUGGAAUUCCUGGUGUAGCGGUGAAAUGCGCAGAUAUCAGGAGGAACACCGGUGGCGAAGGCGGGUCUCUGGGCAGUAACUGACGCUGAGGAGCGAAAGCGUGGGGAGCGAACAGG
Molecule: ribosomal RNA, 253 nt
Filed under: uncultured bacterium
Lineage: Bacteria
Description: partial 16S ribosomal RNA
Rfam family: Bacterial small subunit ribosomal RNA
Source: RNAcentral